Molecule: ribosomal RNA, 378 nt
Filed under: uncultured bacterium
Lineage: Bacteria
Description: partial 16S ribosomal RNA
Rfam family: Bacterial small subunit ribosomal RNA
Source: RNAcentral
CCUACGGGAGGCAGCAGUGGGGAAUAUUGCACAAUGGGGGGAACCCUGAUGCAGCAAUGCCGCGUGGGUGAAGAAGCACUCCGGUGCGUAAAGCCCUGUCAGCAGGGAAGAAAAUGACAGUACCUGGACAAGAAGCCCCGGCUAAAUACGUGCCAGCAACCGCGGUAAUACGUAGUGGGCAAGCGGUAUCCGGAUAUACUGGGUGUAAAGGGAGCGCAGGCGGGGGGGCAAGUCAGAUGGGAAAACCCGGGGCCCAACCCCCGGAGUGCAUUUGAAACUGGCAUGCUGGAGUGCGGGAGAGGUAAGCGGAAUUCCAAGUGUAGCGGUGAAAUGCGUAGAUAUUAGGAGGAACACCAGAGGCGGAGGCGGCUUACUGGA